UGGUAUAUUUUUGGCAAAUCAUAUUGGAAAUUGAUUAGCAGACCGGAAUUCCCUUGUAGGAAGCCCCGCCCUUUAGGGCGGGUGAGGAUGUCACUGUUCUGCUUCC
This 106-nucleotide unclassified non-coding RNA is filed under the name Haladaptatus litoreus. Its description in RNAcentral is "HgcC family RNA". The record is from RNAcentral. Lineage: Archaea; Methanobacteriati; Methanobacteriota; Halobacteria; Halobacteriales; Haladaptataceae.